Molecule: ribosomal RNA, 459 nt
Filed under: uncultured bacterium
Lineage: Bacteria
Description: partial 16S ribosomal RNA
Rfam family: Bacterial small subunit ribosomal RNA
Source: RNAcentral
CCUACGGGAGGCAGCAGUGAGGAAUAUUGGUCAAUGGGCUUACGCCUGAACCAGCCAAGUCGCGUGAGGGAAGACUGCCCUAUGGUUGUAAACCUCUUUUGUCAGGGAGCAACGCCGGCCACGUGUAGCCGGACCUAGAGUACCUGAAAAAACAGCAACGGCUUACGCCGUGACAGCAGCCGCGGUAAUACGGAGGAUGAGAGCGUUUUCCGGAUUUAUUGGGUUUAAAGGGUGCGUAGGCGGAAGGCCCAGUCAGCGGGAAAAUCGCGGGGCUCAACCUCGCUCCGCCGUUGAAACUGGCGUUCUUGAGUGGGCGAGAAGUAUGCGGAAUGCGUGGUGUAGCGGUGAAAUGCAUAGAUAUCACGCAGAACUCCGAUUGCGAAGGCAGCAUACCGGCGCCCAACUGACGCUGAAGCACGAAAGCGUGGGUAUCGAACAGGAUUAGAUACCCUAGUAGUC